This 494-nucleotide ribosomal RNA is filed under the name uncultured bacterium. RNAcentral's name for it is "partial 16S ribosomal RNA". It matches the Rfam family "Bacterial small subunit ribosomal RNA", at positions 28 to 523 of the family's 1533-position model. The record is from RNAcentral.
GACGAACGCUGGCGGCGUGCUUAACACAUGCAAGUCGAGCGAUGAAAGCCUUAUGAACUAUUCGUAGUGAUUGGGGCCGGAUUAGCGGCGGACGGGGGAGUAACGCGUGAGCAACCUGCCUUAAACAAAGGGAUAGCCUCGGGAAACCGGGCUUAAUACCGUAUGAGACCCCGCCUUCACAUGAAGAAGAGGUUAAAGAUUUAUCGGUUUAAGAUGGGCUCGCGUCUGAUUAGCUAGUUGGUGAGAUAAAAGCCCACCAAGGCAACGAUCAGUAACCGGCUCGAGAGAGUGAACGGUCACAUUGGAACUGAGACACGGUCCAAACUCCUACGGGAGGCAGCAGUGGGGAAUAUUGCACAAUGGGGGAAACCCUGAUGCAGCGACGCCGCGUGAGCGAUGAAGGAAUUCGUUUCGUAAAGCUCUGUCCAAGGGGAAGAUAAUGACAGUACCCUUGGAGGAAGCCCCGGCUAAAUACGUGCCAGCCGCCGCAGUAA